UACGGAGGGGGCUAGCGUUGUUCGGAAUUACUGGGCGUAAAGCGCACGUAGGCGGAUCAGCAAGUUAGGGGUGAAAUCCCGGGGCUCAACCCCGGAACUGCCUUUAGGACUGUUGGUCUGGAGUCCGAGAGAGGUGAGUGGAAUUCCGAGUGUAGAGGUGAAAUUCGUAGAUAUUCGGAGGAACACCAGUGGCGAAGGCGGCUCACUGGCUCGGUACUGACGCUGAGGUGCGAAAGCGUGGGGAGCAAACAGG
Molecule: ribosomal RNA, 253 nt
Filed under: uncultured bacterium
Lineage: Bacteria
Description: partial 16S ribosomal RNA
Rfam family: Bacterial small subunit ribosomal RNA
Source: RNAcentral